Long non-coding RNA from Pygocentrus nattereri (red-bellied piranha), 272 nucleotides. Lineage: Eukaryota; Metazoa; Chordata; Actinopteri; Characiformes; Serrasalmidae. The record is from Ensembl.
GGAAUCUUUGGGCGAGCUUCCGUGAUUUAAUCCGGUCUGCCUGCAGCGUUGAGCUCGGGCUGUCUCAGUGACCGAGGAUUGUGAUCAGAAAUGGAGGUGAAAAAUCACUGCGAGGAAAAUCAGCUGAAGAAUGGAGUGCAGAACGGGGUUCCGAAGGAAACACCUCCAGCGAAACCUGCAAAUCACACCAAAUGGAACCAGAUCUGUAAGAGUGCUCAGUGUUUAUUUCAACAGGUCAAACAUGUUUAUAGUGCAAUUUAAUCAGUGCUGCU